AAACUCCAGGCACCUAAGCAAGCCCCACGCAGCCGUCUGCAUUUUUCAAUCCCUCCAACCUCGCCUUUUGCUAUUUCCCCCACCCCACCUACGGCACGUUCCGGUCAUAACCAACUAGCUCCUCGCUGAAACUGGCUCACACCGCGGAAGCCCGGGUCGGUGUCGGGGCGAGCCUUCCCUCCUUUUCCUGGAGCCCGUCUCAGAGUCUUGCUGUGUCACCCAGGCUGCCAGGCUGGAGUGGAGUGGCAUGAUCUCGGCUGACUGCAACCUCUGCCUCCCAGGUUCAAGCAAUUGCCCUGCCUCAGCCUCCCGAAUAGCUGGGAUUACAGGCACAUGCCACCACACCCGGCUGAUAUUUGUAUUUUUAGUAGAGACGGGGUUUUACCGUCUUGGCCAGGCUGGUCUUGAACUCCUGACUUCAGGUGAUCCACCCACCUUGGCCUCCCAAAGUGUUGGGAUUACAGGCCUGAGCCACCGUGCCCGGCAGUGCUUGGUCUUAUUAAACGCUUUAUGAAAGGCAGAACUGGGGCUCCCUUGCAUCUUCCAGUUACAAAUUCAGUGCCUUCUGCAGUUUCCCC
This 578-nucleotide long non-coding RNA is filed under the name Homo sapiens (human). Its description in RNAcentral is "non-protein coding lnc-PTK2-7:2". The record is from RNAcentral. Lineage: Eukaryota; Metazoa; Chordata; Mammalia; Primates; Hominidae.